UACAGAGGUCCCGAGCGUUGUUCGGAUUCAUUGGGCGUAAAGGGUGCGUAGGUGGCGCUGUAAGUGGGGUGUGAAAUCCCGGGGCUUAACUCCGGAACUGCAUUCCAUACUGCGGUGCUUGAGGACUGGAGAGGAGACUGGAAUUUACGGUGUAGCGGUGAAAUGCGUAGAUAUCGGAAGGAACAUCAGUGGCGAAAGCGACUUCCUGGACCAAUACCGACGCUCAUGUGCGAAAGCGUGGGGAGCAAACAGG
RNAcentral lists this ribosomal RNA (253 nucleotides) under uncultured bacterium. RNAcentral's name for it is "partial 16S ribosomal RNA". It matches the Rfam family "Bacterial small subunit ribosomal RNA", at positions 524 to 776 of the family's 1533-position model. The record is from RNAcentral.